This is a long non-coding RNA of Megalobrama amblycephala (Wuchang bream), 2063 nucleotides long. RefSeq lists it as uncharacterized. The record is from RefSeq and is a predicted model, not a curated record. Lineage: Eukaryota; Metazoa; Chordata; Actinopteri; Cypriniformes; Xenocyprididae. The transcript has 4 exons.
ACUUAUUAAAACGUAAGUUUAAUAUUUGAUGUUAACAAUUGUGCUGAUAAUAAUGCAGUUGUAGUUUUCUGAUCUGGUUUAACUUGGUUUAAACUCGGAAAUACUGAAUAACUUCGCUGCAAGUCACUAGGCCUAUGUUGGAGAAAUGUGUUUUUUCGUCACAAUGUGGUAAUAAAGUUUAGAUUAUGUCAGUAAUCUUACUUAAUUUGAUUUUCAGCUGUAGUUAGGUGUAUCCGUUUAAUGUGUUUAUAGUUUUUUUUUAACGUUUAAUUAUCUAACGUCACAAUAGGGUGUAAGUUGACACAUUUUUAUGUGUUUGGAUGGUCGAAAUCUUGCAGGUAGGGCUGUGGCUGGUGUUUUCAACAUUUUAUAAUGUAAACGUAACGAUGAAGUUAAUUCUAAAUUCGAUUUGUCAAAUGCCACCAUAGUAUUUUUAUUGAAGCCACGUAAGUUAGAUGGCGCUGUGGGAUAGCGUUAACAUGGCCCAACACUGCGCAACGAAGAAGGCGAUGGGUAUUUAAAAAUACCCGCUUUUUUGUUUCUCGUCACUUUAACCUUCUGCGAUGAUUACGGUAGCACGAACGACUAUUUUAUAUUAUUGUUAGACAUAAACAAUCAGUUGACUUGAGCAGAGCGGCGGUUGAUACAAGUAACGCAUAUUGAAAUUCACUCUUUGUUAGCAGUGACUGUUAUUGGCAUAGCACAUAUUGCUGAACUAACGUAUUUUGUUCUCUUUUUUUUUGUUUUAAUUAACAAGCUUCUCCUGUGCACUCAAACAAGUCCCUGUCUUCAUCCUUUGACUCCACUGACUCACAGGACACACUCAUUAUUGAAGAACGGGUUUCAAGUACACGAAAGAGGCUCGAUGAUGAAGCUAAAAAAGUACAUCACAACCAAGGAAUGUGAAUGAGAAAUAUCCCAGAGUAAUUGUGGUGUUCCUGUAUCUCAGUGGACCCCACCCCCACGAAAAGGAUUGUCUUGUCAAGGCCAGAAAAGGCGUCUACAUCUCAAGUGGGGAUUAUCUUGUCUUCUAGAAGAGUGAAACAAGCAUUGAGGAGCAUCUUCAAGACAUCGCUGGAAGUGCUCAGUCCUAUCACCUGGCUGUUGAAACGGAGAAUUCAGUUCACCAGUUCUUCAUUCUUGAUCAACAUGUCAUUCCAUGCAAGUCAGCCUCUUCUUUUGUUUCCUUUUGAUGAAAUGUUUUAAUGGGAUUAUGUUUAAUGUUUAAUGGGUUUAAUUCACCUAAAAAUGAGAAUUCUGUCAUUAACUCUCCCUCAUGCCGUUCCAAACCCGUAAGACCUUCGUUCAUCUUUGAAACAACAAUGAAGAUAUUUUAAUGAAAUCUGAAAGUUUUCUGUCCCUCUGUUGACAGUUUACACAACUAGCACAUUCAAGGCCCCGACAGGUAGUAAUGAGACAUUAAAGUAAUCCAUGUUACUCUGUUGGUUUAACCUCAACUUUAUACACGCAUUCACACAACGACUGCUUUCAUUUCAGCAAAUCACUCAUGCGUCGUGGUGCUCUCAUGUACGCAAGUCCGGUUUUGCGUUGCUUCAUAAAACUGAAGUUAAAUCAACAGAGUCACAUGGGUAACUUUAAUGAUGUCUUUACUGCCUUUCUGCACCUUGAAAGUGGUAGUUGUGUAGGCUGUCAAUGAAGUGACAGAAGUCUCCCAGAUUUCAUCAAAAAAUAUCUUCAUUUGUGUUCUGAAAAUGAACAAAAGCCUUACAGGUUUAGAAUGACAUGAGGGUAAGUUAAGGAGAGAAUUUAUUUUUUGGUGAACUAAUUUUAAGGCACACUUUGUUUUGGGCACCAUUUAUAACACUAUUCUACACAAGAUGUACACUCUUGUUGUCAGAAUGAAAGUGUACAACAAAGAUGCUGGCAAAGUGAAGUCCUUGUAUUGCUGAGGUUAGAGCAAGGCUGCUUAGCUAGGUGGUUCAACAGAUUCUGUACUGCAUACAGUGAUGUAUUGUCAUUUCAUGCAGAUGUGAUGUAUUUUUGUGCAUAUACGUGUAUGUCUUUUGAGCCUGACAACGUUUAAAUAAAUGUUUUAAAUGUGA